AGGACGAACGCUGGCGGCGUGCUUAACACAUGCAAGUCGAGCGGUAAGGCCCUUCGGGGUACACGAGCGGCGAACGGGUGAGUAACACGUGAGCAAUCUGCCCUCCACAUCGGGAUAACCCCCGGAAACGGGAGCUAAUACCGGAUACGACCACUUCAGGCAUCUGAUGGUGGUGGAAAGUUCCGGCGGUGGAGGAUGAGCUCGCGGCCUAUCAGCUUGUUGGUGGGGUAACGGCCCACCAAGGCUUCGACGGGUAGCCGGCCUGAGAGGGUGACCGGCCACACUGGGACUGAGACACGGCCCAGACUCCUACGGGAGGCAGCAGUGGGGAAUAUUGGACAAUGGGCGAAAGCCUGAUCCAGCAACGCCGCGUGAGGGAUGACGGCCUUCGGGUGUAAGCACUUUGUCCGGAAGAAAGCUUCGGGUUAAUACCCGGGGUCCUGACGGUACCGGAAGAAUAAGCACCGGCUAACUUCGUGCCAGCAGCCGC
Molecule: ribosomal RNA, 490 nt
Filed under: uncultured bacterium
Lineage: Bacteria
Description: SSU rRNA
Rfam family: Bacterial small subunit ribosomal RNA
Source: RNAcentral